UACGGUAGGGUGCAAGCGUUGUCCGGAAUUAUUGGGCGUAAAGAGCUCGUAGGCGGUUUGUUGCGUCGGCUGUGAAAUCCCGAGGCUCAACCUCGGGUCUGCAGUCGAUACGAGCAAACUAGAGUGUUGCAGGGGAGACUGGAAUUCCUGGUGUAGCGGUGAAAUGCGCAGAUAUCAGGAGGAACACCGGUGGCGAAGGCGGGUCUCUGGGCAACACUGACGCUGAGGAGCGAAAGCGUGGGGAGCGAACAGG
Molecule: ribosomal RNA, 253 nt
Filed under: uncultured bacterium
Lineage: Bacteria
Description: partial 16S ribosomal RNA
Rfam family: Bacterial small subunit ribosomal RNA
Source: RNAcentral